RNAcentral lists this unclassified non-coding RNA (253 nucleotides) under uncultured Parcubacteria group bacterium. Its description in RNAcentral is "contains 16S-23S intergenic spacer region". It matches the Rfam family "Bacterial small subunit ribosomal RNA", at positions 524 to 776 of the family's 1533-position model. The record is from RNAcentral.
UACGUGAGCCCCAAGUGUUAUCCGGAAUCACUGGGCGUAAAGGGUGUGUAGGUGGUGUUGUUAGUCUUCUGUGAAAUCUCCCGGCUUAACCGGGAAGACGCAGGGGAAACGGCAACACUAGAGGGUGCGAGGGGUAUGUAGAACUCACGGUGUAGGGGUGAAAUCCGUUGAUAUCGUGGGGAAUACCAAAAGCGAAGGCAGCAUACUGGCGCAUUUCUGACACUGAGACACGAAAGCUAGGGUAGCGAACGGG